Molecule: ribosomal RNA, 460 nt
Filed under: uncultured bacterium
Lineage: Bacteria
Description: partial 16S ribosomal RNA
Rfam family: Bacterial small subunit ribosomal RNA
Source: RNAcentral
CCUACAGGAGGCAGCAGUGAGGAAUAUUGGUCACUGGGCGCGAGCCUGAACCAGCCAAGUAGCGUGAAGGAUGACUGCCCUACGGGUUGUAAACUUCUUUUAUAAAGGAAUAAAGUGAGGCACGUGUGCCUUUUUGUAUGUACUUUAUGAAUAAGGAUCGACUAACUCCGUGCCAGCAGCCGCGGUAAUACGGAGGAUCCGAGCGUUAUCCGGAUUUAUUUGGUUUAAAGGGAGCGUAGAUGGGUUGUUAAGUCAGUUGUGAAAGUUUGCGGCUCAACCGUAAAAUUGCAAUUGAUACUGGCAGUCUUGAGUACAGUUGAGGUAGGCGGAAUUCGUGGUGUAGCGGUGAAAUGCGUAGAUAUUAGGAAGAACACCAGUGGCGAAGGCGGCUUUCUGGACUGAAACUGACGCUGAGGCACGAAAGCGUGGGGAGCGAACAGGAUUAGAUACCCGAGUAGUC